Molecule: ribosomal RNA, 421 nt
Filed under: uncultured bacterium
Lineage: Bacteria
Description: bacterial SSU rRNA
Rfam family: Bacterial small subunit ribosomal RNA
Source: RNAcentral
UAAGGAAUAUUGGACAAUGGAGGCAACUCUGAUCCAGCCAUGCCGCGUGAAGGAAUAAGGCCCUAUGGGUUGUAAACUUCUUUUAGACGGGACAAAACCCCUUUACGUGUAAAGGGUUGAUGGUACUGUCAGAAUAAGCAACGGCUAACUUCGUGCCAGCAGCCGCGGUAAUACGAAGGAUGCAAGCGUUAUCUGGAAUUAUUGGGUUUAAAGGGUGCGUAGGCGGACUAAUAAGUCAGUGGUGAAAGCCUGCAGCUUAACUGCAGAAUUGCCAUUGAUACUGUUAGUCUUGAGUACAGUUGAGGUAGGCGGAAUGUGUCAUGUAGCGGUGAAAUGCUUAGAUAUGACACAGAACACCGAUUGCGAAGGCAGCUUGCUAAGCUGUAACUGACGCUGAGGCACGAAAGCGUGGGGAGCAAAC